AUCUAGCUGACGAAUCACAAAUAGGACGAAACGCAUGUCCUGGAU
Molecule: non-coding RNA, 45 nt
Organism: Schistosoma rodhaini
Lineage: Eukaryota; Metazoa; Platyhelminthes; Trematoda; Strigeidida; Schistosomatidae
Source: Rfam